Molecule: ribosomal RNA, 729 nt
Filed under: uncultured bacterium
Lineage: Bacteria
Description: bacterial SSU rRNA
Rfam family: Bacterial small subunit ribosomal RNA
Source: RNAcentral
CCUGGGCGUUUCCUGACGCUGAAGCACUAAGGCCAGGGGAGCGAAGGGGAUUAGAUACCCCCGUAGUCCUGGCUUCAAACGAUGUGGGCUUGGUGUCGGCCCCCUACAGAGGGUCGUUGCCGGAGCUAACGUGUUAGGCCCACCGCCUGGGGAUUACGUCCGCAAGGAUGAAGCUCAAGGGAAUUGACGGGGGCCCACACAACCGGUGGAGCACGUGGUUUAAUUCGAUGAUAAGCGAAGAACCUUACCAGGGCUUGACCUAGCGGUAGUAGGAUCCUGAAAGGGAAACGACCUCAAGCUUUGCUUGAGGAGCCGUGGCAGGUAUUGCAUGGCUGUCGUCAGCUCGUGUCGUGGGACGUUGGGUUAAGUCCCGUAACGAGCGCAACCCCUGCUCUUAAUUGCCAGCGGGUAAUGCCGGGUACUAUAAGGGGACUGCCGGAGAAUAUCCGGAGGAAGGAGGGGAUGACGUCAAGUCAUUAUGAUCCUUAUGCUCUGGGCGACACACGUGCUACAAUGGGCACUACAAUGAGGAGCAAGUCCGCAAGGACGAGCAAAUCUCAAAAAGGUGCCCCCAGUGCGGAUUGGGGUCUGCAACCCGACCCCAUGAAGAUGGAAUCGGUAGUAAUCGCGGGUCAGCCAUACCGCGGUGAAUAUGUACUUGGGCCUUGUACACACCGCCCGUCACACCAAUCGAGUAGGCGACACCCGAAGUCGACGUAUGUUGCCGAA